This 73-nucleotide transfer RNA is filed under the name Porphyromonadaceae bacterium. RNAcentral describes it as "tRNA-Lys". It matches the Rfam family "tRNA". From Rfam's summary of the family: Transfer RNA (tRNA) molecules are approximately 80 nucleotides in length. Their secondary structure includes four short double-helical elements and three loops (D, anti-codon, and T loops). The record is from RNAcentral. Lineage: Bacteria; Pseudomonadati; Bacteroidota; Bacteroidia; Bacteroidales; Porphyromonadaceae.
GACUUCGUAGCUCAGUCGGUAGAGCAAAUGACUCUUAAUCAUUGGGUCGAGGGUUCGAUCCCCUCCGGGGUCA